Molecule: ribosomal RNA, 622 nt
Filed under: Sporothrix pallida
Lineage: Eukaryota; Fungi; Ascomycota; Sordariomycetes; Ophiostomatales; Ophiostomataceae
Description: LSU rRNA
Rfam family: Eukaryotic large subunit ribosomal RNA
Source: RNAcentral
AUGCCCAGUAACGGCGAGUGAAGCGGCAACAGCUCAAAUUUGAAAUCUGGCCCCCCGGCCCGAGUUGUAAUUUGGAGAGGAUGCUUUUGGCGCGGCGCCGUCCGAGUUCCUUGGAACAGGACGCCACAGAGGGUGAGAGCCCCGUACGGACGGACGCCUAGCCUCUACAAAGCUCCUUCGACGAGUCGAGUAGUUUGGGAAUGCUGCUCAAAAUGGGAGGUAAAUUUCUUCUAAAGCUAAAUACCGGCCAGAGACCGAUAGCGCACAAGUAGAGUGAUCGAAAGAUGAAAAGCACUUUGAAAAGAGGGUUAAAAAGUACGUGAAAUUGUUGAAAGGGAAGCGCCUGUGACCAGACUUGCGCCCCGUGGACCACCCGGCGUUCUCGCCGGUGCACUCCGCGGGGCGCAGGCCAGCAUCGGUUUUCCUAGGGGGACAAAGGCCGCGGGAACGUAGCUCCUUCGGGAGUGUUAUAGCCCGCGGCGGCAUGCCCCUGGGGGGACCGAGGACCGCGCUUCGGCAAGGAUGCUGGCGUAAUGGUCACCAGCGACCCGUCUUGAAACACGGACCAAGGAGUCAAGCAUUGGGGCGAGUGUAUGGGUGCCAAACCCGCACGCGAAAUGAA